UGCAUUCACUACUGUAAGUUGUCUGGAUAAGAGCAUCUGCUAAAUGACUAAAA
Non-coding RNA from Salmo salar (Atlantic salmon), 53 nucleotides. NCBI's taxonomy places the organism in Eukaryota, Metazoa, Chordata, Actinopteri, Salmoniformes, Salmonidae. The record is from Rfam.